Molecule: long non-coding RNA, 2426 nt
Filed under: Homo sapiens (human)
Lineage: Eukaryota; Metazoa; Chordata; Mammalia; Primates; Hominidae
Description: HSALNT0364019
Source: RNAcentral
GUAAGAUAAAUAAUGAGGAAGACUCACUGGCUUUGACUUGAUCAUUCAAAUUUAUGUGUCAUUGGAGCUGUAUUCUCUAUUAUGACCCAACAAACUGAUUAAAUAUCAGCCAAGCAUGAACAAUAGCUUGCAGCUCUAAUUCCUCCUUCCCAUCCCACCUCUGAAAGCCUUUAAACCCUGGAAUGUAAAUGCAAUUUUUUUUUUCCUGGCAUUAAAAAAAACAUGAAAAAAUUGUAUUUUUGACUCUGUUGUCUACUGUUGCUGACAAUGUUCAAACCACUUGGGCCUUAUUUCUUGUCUGAGAUCAGUGAUCUAUGGGGAAAGGUGUUUCCUAGUUGGGCAAAGGAAUCAUGGGGUCAGAGGCUUCUUCCUCUUCCCCUGAACUGCUCAGUUCAAUUCAACCAACAUCGCUGAGCACCUACUCUAUGUCAAGCCCAGACCUAGACCUAAGGCCCUAAAGAGAAUUCCAUAGGGAAAGAAAAACAACUGUUGCUGAACACAUGCCUUACUCUUUGGAGUCCCCACAGUACCCUCUGCAGCUGCACACCUAAUAGAAUGCACAGUGUUGAAAUGCCCUUUCCUGAGUGCUUCAGGGAUAGAGGAUGUGCCUUAUUCAUCUUUGCAUCCCUGCUGGGCCAGCUCAGAGCCUAGCAUACAAUAGACACUCAACAAAUGUUUGGUGGAUUUUAACGAAUUGCCUGAAAUUUUAUAUACCUUACUGAGUCCUCACAGCCAACCAGAAAGUGACUCUUUAUUCUACCCAGCCCUCAUCACAACUAAACUUGAGGGUUUCUAAGUCUCUUCUCAAGAAUAUAAGCAUCUGAAAGCAGGAGCCAUUUACCAUUCAUUCACGGGUUCUCAGGAAACUUUUGUUGGAUGAAUGGCCAUGUCUUUUUCAGUGGUUCCUCUUCUAUCUAGGACUAGUUUCCUACUGUUUGGGUUCCCUCAGGAGCUAACCCUAAAAAAAGGAUUCAAAUGCAAGUAGCAUCUGAGAGUAAACUACUUAUAGGCAAAGGAGUGGGGAUGUGAGAUAGGGAAGGGAAGGCCCCUAAGAAUGGGUGUGUUGCAGAAUUGUGCCAUCAGAUGGUGGGCGGGGGAGCUGGGGUAUUUAUAUGCCUGCCCAUCAGUUAUUUGUUGGGGGCUGCUUCCAGGGGGUGUUCAUACCUUUUCACUUCUGAUCUGCUCCAUGUAUGGGCAAAGCUGCCUUUAGAGGCCAGAAAGAGCUUCAGGAGAAGAAAGUAGACUUGGAAGUUGGGCUGGCUGUACUGAAAUGGUCAUAGGGUAUAAAUGGGGUGCCCACUGCCACAGCUGCAGGUGAGUAAUUGUGAUCACAUGAUGAUGUGGGAUGCCUCCAGAACAUUCAAAGGGAAAGUGAGACACUCAUAGGUCUGGAGGUUAGAUAAGAGGACAUCAGAGAUUCCUUACAGUACUAACAUUCUAGAAUGCCAUGACUUCAGCAUACUGGCUUUUAAAGUACAAAUCACCUUCAGAAGAAAAUCCCUUUGUCUUUGGGUUGAGCAAGUAAAAGACCCAGGGAGAGCAACCUUGGAAGAUGUUAUAAAGAUACCAUUUUGCAGAUGAUGAAACUGAGGUUCAGAGAGGCCCAAUAGUCGACACAAAACCAAGGUGGGAAUGUGAAUCUGUUUUUCAUUCCGUGACCCUGUGGUGCCCUUCUCUACAGCUGUUCAUCCACAGACCUUCAAAGGAUGUGCCACCAGUCUCAGCUAUGCAGUAAACAGUCCCGGCAAAGGAUCUUUGUGCAGAUUUGUGAUUAAAGGCAAACAAGAUAAUGAGUCCCAGGACCAGGGGAGAGCAGUCCGCACUCUCAUGCAUUCCUCAAUUCACAUGGCCCUGGAAACCUUUCAGUGUGGCAGUGGCUGUGGCAAUCACUCUGCCAACUGCAGAAUAAAGGGUCCUGUCUGGAAAUGCAAUUAUUUCCAAAUAAAAGGUUUUUAAAAGACACACACGAUAGCAUUUUUGGUUUUCAGAAACUGAUAUACCAAAUAAGGACAAAAAUUAACUUUGUAAAAAAUGAAGAUGAUGAAGACAAUGAAGAGAUGGUGAUGAUGAUGAUGGAUGAAGAUUGUGGUGAUAAGCAUGAUGAAUAUAUUGAGAAGGUGAAGAUGAUGAAGAUGAAGAUGGUGAUGAUGAUGGUAGCAGCAACCACCAUUUUCUGAGCACAUAAAUGUGCCACUCACUAUGUUGGCUACUCUAUAGACAUUAUCUCUAAUUAUUACAAUAACCCUGUAAGACAAAGUUUAGCACCUCCAUUUAACACAUGAGAAACUGAAGCUCAGAGAAGUGAAGUAACCUGCCUGAGGUCACAACCUUAGGCAUGAAAAAGGAUUGACAGAGAUUACUGCUUGAAUUAUUACUCCAAAUCCUGUGCCUCUAACCACUAACAUAACCACUUCAUUUGUUUACUC